CGAGUCGGCCGGGUGGACGCGGGCAACGCAACCGGAAAGCAUGUGUUUUUCCAGGGCGGUGCCCGAGGAAAGUCCGGACUCCGAACAGCACGGUGAUUGCUAACGGCAACCCAGGGUGACCUGAGGGACAAGUGCCACAGAAAACAGACCGCCACAGGGUUUUACCUGCGGUAAGGGUGAAAAGGUGCGGUAAGAGCGCACCAGCGCGCCGGGUGACCGGCGCGGCUGGGUAAACCCCACCGGGAGCAAGGUAAAAGCGUGCACCACCGGUGUGCGUGCGCACAUGUUCGGGCUGCUUGUUCUUCGGGAGACUUCUCAUGUCUCCCGGCAUGUGCGGGUUUGCUGCUUGAGGCCCCCGGCAACGGGUGGUCCAGAUGGAUGUUCACCACCACGGUGUCCGGUAACGGAUCCGUGGGACAGAAUCCGGCUUACAGGCCGUCUCGUUUC
RNAcentral lists this RNase P RNA (447 nucleotides) under Corynebacterium mendelii. RNAcentral describes it as "Bacterial RNase P class A". It matches the Rfam family "Bacterial RNase P class A". From Rfam's summary of the family: Ribonuclease P (RNase P) is a ubiquitous endoribonuclease, found in archaea, bacteria and eukarya as well as chloroplasts and mitochondria. The record is from Rfam by way of RNAcentral. Lineage: Bacteria; Bacillati; Actinomycetota; Actinomycetes; Mycobacteriales; Corynebacteriaceae.